Long non-coding RNA from Carassius auratus (goldfish), 531 nucleotides. RefSeq lists it as uncharacterized. NCBI's taxonomy places the organism in Eukaryota, Metazoa, Chordata, Actinopteri, Cypriniformes, Cyprinidae. The record is from RefSeq and is a predicted model, not a curated record. The transcript is spliced from 3 exons.
UUUAAUGGUAACGCUUUUUUUCUUCUUACUUCAUUCCUAUUGGUCAGUCUCGACGAGUGUCUAUAUUCAUUGUGUUCAUUGGCUGUUUGAGGAGAGGAACUCGAAAACCUGUGAAUCAGGUUAAUUAAACAUUACAAAGAUUUUUAGAGCUUUGUUUGAAGCAUAAUUGUUUUUUAUAUUGAAUGGAAUGGUAUUUCUCAAACAAAGGUCCUUGCAGUUGCAAGAAAGCAGCAGAGAGCCGAUCCAAAAUCUCUACGUGCUGUUACAAACAUUAACAGCAGGAGGUGCAAUUGGGUGUUGGGUUGAUAAAUACAAACCACCAUGCGAGCGGAAAAAAGGCAGAGGCUGAUGCUGCAGUAACAGACUGAGGUUGGCUGUGGCUGGUGCUGUCAGAGUAUCUGCUCUUACCUGGCCCCCAGAGAAGAUGACUGGUGCAGUGGCAGGCUUUGGCCUGUAUGGAAUUGUGGCACCUUUGGGUGGGGACUGGCGAAGAUCUGCUUCACACACUGGAUAAUGGCCUCUGGAGCACCU